This is a long non-coding RNA of Ictalurus punctatus (channel catfish), 2637 nucleotides long. RefSeq lists it as uncharacterized. Lineage: Eukaryota; Metazoa; Chordata; Actinopteri; Siluriformes; Ictaluridae. The record is from RefSeq and is a predicted model, not a curated record. The transcript has 3 exons.
AGUACUGUUUAUUUUUGUAAUAAAGUGAACUUAAUUUUUCCACUGAGUGUUAUAUUUUCAUUCAGUAGUAAUCGGUUAUUAGUAGGUGCUACCCGACUUGGUUAUCGGCAUCUGUAAGAUCCACUGUCGAUCAGCCUUUAAAAUAGAUUAAUGUGUAUCACAUGAUCUUCUUUAAUUAAUAACGAAAUGCGCUUGUUGACAACUUGCUGUGGUGUAAGGGGAAUAAAACACUUCAGAAUGUGCAGUUCUACCUUAGGGUGAUAACGGUCACUCCACUUCAUUGGAUCGUUGACUGUUUUCCUAUAACCGUAUGUUUAUUCCUUACAUAAAUUAAACACAAAGCAUGUAGGGGUUCUACAUGCAUGUAGUAUUUGUACAAUCAAUAACCUAUUAGAGUAAUACAUUGUGGUAUAUAAACUGAACUUUGUGUUUGAUGUGUCUGCAGUGCCCAAAGCCCGUGGUGGUGGCAGUGCAUGGCGUUUGUGUGGAAGCAGGUCUGUUGGGAGUGUUAAGUACCAUCAUCUCAUACACUCACCACAACUCUGGGAAGUUCCAUCCAUAUUGUUUGCUGUCACUUUUCCUGCAAACUUUAACCAUCAGAGAGUUAUCUUUUACUGGGGCUUUUAGCUGCAGGAGACUGAAUUACUAAGUUUUUUUUUUUUGUGGAUCUGAUUUCUUCUUUCGCAGGAGUGGAUCUAAUCACAGCCUGUGAUAUUCGUCUGUGCACACAGGAUGCCUGGUUUCAGGUGAAGUCGUGUGUUCCCUGAUAGUCCAUGAUUGCUGGAGCUCUGGAAAUAGCAGGUGAGAUUGCAGGCCGGAGUCGCGUCGCUGUCCAAGGAACCAAAAUCAACCUCCUCUACUCCUGAGACCACAGUGUGACUGAGAGCCUAGACUACAUGGCUACUUGGAACAUGAACAUGUUGCAGACACAGGAUCUUAUGAAGUCAGCGCAGGCAGCCCUGGAAAAGAAGAGUCCGAAAGACGUGCCCUUCUCCAAGCUUUAAAGGAGAAGAUCCAGGGCUGUUGAAGCUGCGGUGGAACUGAGACAUCAUCAUCCACAUAUCUUCAGUUCUUCUUGCUAAGUCUGUUUCUUUUUAGUCUUUUUAUUUUUAGACUGGUCAAAAGACUGAUUAGUGGAAGUGAAAUGAUAGAUGAACUUUUAUUUACUUGCUUUAUUAUUUGCAGGUGCCUUGUACAGUAAGACAGGGUAACUAAUACUCAAAAGCUUUUUUUGUGUGUUAACAUGUACAGUAGAUGGACAUAUUUUUUCUGGUGCUGUGACUGCAGAAUGUAGUGCAGUUAACACAUUAAAUUUCCUUGGAUGCUCACUUUUAACUCUAGGAGGUCACAGUUUGCCCAGACAUCUUUUUUUAAAUCCGUCAAUCCGUCACCCACACGUCAUUCUGGGGGACGAAGAGGAGGAAGCUGGACAGAUAAAUUUAUUUAUUUAUUUAUCAUUGCUGUGUUUCCUUAAUCGAGUGCAGAAAGAAGAAAAACAACACAACUGAUUUAAAAUAAAAAUAUAGAAAAUAAUCUAAUGUAAGAUUCUGAUCCGGUUUGCUUUCAGCAGGAAGGCUGUCCUCUUUCCUGUUGCUCUUUCUCUUCUAUUAGUCCAUUUGUCCAGUCUGAAUCGGUUUUGAUUCGUUUCGAGACGAUUCGGAGUCGAAUAAUUUUCUAGUGAGAGUCGCACACUUCCAAACGAACUAGACUGAGAUGAGUAUUUGAUUCUCACUAGAAAGUGAUUCGACUCUGAAUAAACUCGAAAUGAAUCAGUCAAACUGAUUCAGACUCUAUAAAAGGACUAUGAGAUGUGAUUAAGAUAUAUAUUCCAAUGUUUUGCUUUACAAUUCCAUUGUGUGUGUGUGUGUGUGUGUGUGUGUGUGUGUGUGUGUGUGUGUGUAUGUGUGUGCGUGCGCGCGCACGUGUGUUUUUCAGGAGAACGAGAAACUCGGACACAACAGUACAUCCUGACCAUUGGUACUGUGUACACAUCAACAUACACACACGUCUCCAUGCUGGACAUCUCAGGAGCUUUCACACAGUGCUAGGAAUAUCCCGGGACAGAGAAACGCACCUUCUAAGUGAGCGAGUUUAGCGUCAACCGGUGAAAUUUGCUGUAGCGUGAACACUUCGCCUCUGUGAGCUUCACUCUCCGUAGGGUUCACUGUAAUUAGACAUAAAAUGUACAUAGUUUAUUUUUCAUGCAUUUAGGAUUUAAUGUUUUUUUUUUUUUACUCUUCGAGGAACAGAAAUGAUCUUUCGAGGCAGCUUCUUCAUCACUACCUGCUCCGUUUGACUCAAAAAUGUAACGACCGGUUUCAAAAAGUGACGAUGUCUUCAGUUCAUGAGAUUUUACUGUUGAAUUUAAACAGGAAAUGUGAAAUAUUUUUUCCCUUUGUUUCCUCUACUGUCUUUUUGCUGUGAUCUUGAACACAGUUGUAAUUUAAAAAAAAAAAUAAUUAAAAAAAAUGAUAAUUCUAGUUCUCUCACUUUCCUUGUCCUAAUUGUCCUGUAUCUGUUAAGUCCGUUUCAUCUCUGGUCUUUCUGUCUGUAUGAACACUUGUAGAAAUGACUUGUAGUCCAUAUUUUUAAAUGAUUCGUGAUUUUGAAUUUAAAUAAAGAUAUUCUUUAAUUCUG